CCUACGGGUGGCUGCAGUGGGGAAUAUUGCACAAUGGGCGCAAGCCUGAUGCAGCCAUGCCGCGUGUGUGAAGAAGGCCUUCGGGUUGUAAAGCACUUUCAGCGGGGAGGAAGGCGUUAAGGUUAAUAACCUUGUCGAUUGACGUUACCCGCAGAAGAAGCACCGGCUAACUCCGUGCCAGCAGCCGCGGUAAUACGGAGGGUGCAAGCGUUAAUCGGAAUUACUGGGCGUAAAGCGCACGCAGGCGGUCUGUCAAGUCGGAUGUGGAAUCCCCGGGCUCAACCUGGGAACUGCAUUCGAAACUGGCAGGCUAGAGUCUUGUAGAGGGGGGUAGAAUUCCAGGUGUAGCGGUGAAAUGCGUAGAGAUCUGGAGGAAUACCGGUGGCGAAGGCGGCCCCCUGGACAAAGACUGACGCUCAGGUGCGAAAGCGUGGGGAGCAAACAGGAUUAGAUACCCGGGUAGUC
Molecule: ribosomal RNA, 465 nt
Filed under: uncultured Klebsiella sp.
Lineage: Bacteria; Pseudomonadati; Pseudomonadota; Gammaproteobacteria; Enterobacterales; Enterobacteriaceae
Description: bacterial SSU rRNA
Rfam family: Bacterial small subunit ribosomal RNA
Source: RNAcentral